GACGAACGCUGGCGGCGUGCCUAAUACAUGCAAGUAGAACGCACAGUUUAUACCGUAGCUUGCUACACCAUAAACUGUGAGUUGCGAACGGGUGAGUAACGCGUAGGUAACCUGCCUGGUAGCGGGGGAUAACUAUUGGAAACGCUAGCUAAUACCGCAUAAUAUUGAUUAUUGCAUGAUAAUUGAUUGAAAGAUGCUAUUGCAUCACUACCAGAUGGACCUGCGUUGUAUUAGCUAGUAGGUGAGGUAACGGCUCACCUAGGCGACGAUACAUAGCCGACCUGAGAGGGUGAUCGGCCACACUGGGACUGAGACACGGCCCAGACUCCUACGGGAGGCAGCAGUAGGGAAUCUUCGGCAAUGGACGAAAGUCUGAACGAGCAACGCCGCGUGAGUGAAGAAGGUUUUCGGAUCGUAAAGCUCUGUUGUAAGAGAAGAACGGGUGUGAGAGUGGAAAGUUCACACUGUGACGGUAUCUUACCAGAAAGGGACGGCUAACUACGUG
RNAcentral lists this ribosomal RNA (505 nucleotides) under uncultured bacterium. RNAcentral describes it as "partial 16S ribosomal RNA". It matches the Rfam family "Bacterial small subunit ribosomal RNA", at positions 28 to 507 of the family's 1533-position model. The record is from RNAcentral.